AACAGAUAUAUUUGGCUAUAAAAUCUGUGAUUGAGAAUGUCACACCAAUAUUAAAUAAACUUUGUUUUUUUAGAGAAAUUGCAAUGUAUAACCAUAAAAAAAUAUAAUUCAACAUAUACCCAUAGCAAGCACAUGGCUAGAAUAUGCAAUGUAUAUUUGUGUAAUAUUAUUCAUUUUAUCCGUCUUGUUUUAAUACUGCGAAAG
Molecule: long non-coding RNA, 204 nt
Filed under: Brassica napus (rape)
Lineage: Eukaryota; Viridiplantae; Streptophyta; Magnoliopsida; Brassicales; Brassicaceae
Description: long non-coding RNA (BNAP_LNC003492)
Source: RNAcentral